GAUUGUGACUCAGUGGUAGAAUGCUUGCCUAGCAUGCAUGAGGCAGUGGGUUCAAUCCCCAGCACUGCA
Molecule: transfer RNA, 69 nt
Filed under: Marmota monax (woodchuck)
Lineage: Eukaryota; Metazoa; Chordata; Mammalia; Rodentia; Sciuridae
Description: tRNA.Ala
Source: RNAcentral